UGGGGAAUAUUGCACAAUGGGGGAAACCCUGAUGCAGCGACGCCGCGUGGAGGAAGAAGGCCCUCGGGUUGUAAACCCCUGUCUUCGGGGACGAUAAUGACGGUACCCGAGGAGGAAGCCACGGCUAACUACGUGCCAGCAGCCGCGGUAAAACGUAGGUGGCAAGCGUUGUCCGGAAUUACUGGGUGUAAAGGGAGCGCAGGCGGAGCGGCAAGUUGGAGGUGAAACCCAUGGGCUCAACCCAUGAACUGCCUUCAAAACUGCCGGUCUUGAGUGGUGUAGAGGUAAGCGGAAUUCCCGGUGUAGCGGUGGAAUGUGUAGAUAUCGGGAGGAACACCAGUGGCGAAGGCGGCUUACUGGGCACUAACUGACGCUGAGGCUCGAAAGCAUGGGUAGCAAACAGGAUUAGAUACCC
This 415-nucleotide ribosomal RNA is filed under the name uncultured bacterium. Its description in RNAcentral is "bacterial SSU rRNA". It matches the Rfam family "Bacterial small subunit ribosomal RNA", at positions 355 to 787 of the family's 1533-position model. The record is from RNAcentral.